RNAcentral lists this transfer RNA (71 nucleotides) under Ictidomys tridecemlineatus (thirteen-lined ground squirrel). Its description in RNAcentral is "Spermophilus tridecemlineatus (thirteen-lined ground squirrel) tRNA". It matches the Rfam family "tRNA". From Rfam's summary of the family: Transfer RNA (tRNA) molecules are approximately 80 nucleotides in length. Their secondary structure includes four short double-helical elements and three loops (D, anti-codon, and T loops). Further hydrogen bonds mediate the characteristic L-shaped molecular structure. tRNAs have two regions of fundamental functional importance: the anti-codon, which is responsible for specific mRNA codon recognition, and the 3' end, to which the tRNAs corresponding amino acid is attached (by aminoacyl-tRNA synthetases). tRNAs cope with the degeneracy of the genetic code in two manners: having more than one tRNA (with a specific anti-codon) for a particular amino acid; and 'wobble' base-pairing, i.e. permitting non-standard base-pairing at the 3rd anti-codon position. The record is from Rfam by way of RNAcentral. Lineage: Eukaryota; Metazoa; Chordata; Mammalia; Rodentia; Sciuridae.
GGGGUUGUGGCUCAAUGGUACAGCGCUUGCCUAGCAUGUAUGAGGCCCUCAGUUUGAUUCUCAGCACCUCA